This 1226-nucleotide long non-coding RNA is filed under the name Gallus gallus (chicken). RNAcentral's name for it is "lncRNA (ENSGALG00000047854.2)". The record is from RNAcentral. Lineage: Eukaryota; Metazoa; Chordata; Aves; Galliformes; Phasianidae.
GGUGAUUGGUACACAUCUGUGUUCACAGAAGACAGUAUAAUAAGGAGAAGGAUAGUAAAUGCUAUACAGAUGAGCAGGAAUUGUGUUUAUUUCAUGUUAUUACUUUUAACAGCUCCUUGGCUUGAUCAGGUCAGAGAAAGUGCAGCUUUUGUGAGCAAAGAGAAGUUCACGAGGACUUUGAAGAAAUUCUCAAUUGUGUCCAGGAAAAGCAUCCAGGUUCUGUUUUUGUUCCUGUGUCCUCAUUGUGUUUAAAUUCCCCUGCACUCUGGAAGAUGAGAUAAAAAUUUCUGCCAAAUAUGGUCAUAAAAAAAUGAAAAAGGAGGGAGUGAUUUUUUUUUUCUCUUAUAGAGAGCCUUUUCACAAUAUUUGAUGUAUCCUUUAUAUCCAUCAUUACACGGAGAUCUUAAGACUGGACGUAUCUACUGGCAUGUGGUUAAUAGCUGAAUCUAGAAUCUAGAAUAUAUUCAGGGAAAAUAUAUAUUCUGUCUAAAAUGUUUCUCUAUAGAAAUAGAAAAUCCUUCGAAGAAUUUCUUUAAGUUACCAGCUUGUUGUCAUAUUUGUAAAUAAACAGUAUUAUUUUCAUAGUAGUUCAACAGUGUGUGACAUUUUAGCUGGAGAUCUUGAAUCUGCUCCACCUACAACUUUAAGGCUGAGCACUGACUGUAUAAAUAUAAACACUGAGACAAAUAGACAGAUUUCCUUUCUACAUACUGUAUCAUUGUCAAACUAGGAAACAUUAUCCGUAUACAACGUAAUGACUUUUUUCUUUCCUUGAAGCAGACCUUAUGAGCCUCUUUCAUUCUCUUUCCUUUGAAGAGGAGCUAUUUCCUCUCUGGACUGCACAAAAAAAAAGUGUGUGUAUAUGUAUAAUAGCUUGGCAUACGUAUUCUUUAAAGUUGCCAUAUUGUAAUCAAGGGUUCCAUUCCCACUCAGUUUGUUUUAUUGAGACAGUACUAACGAUUUUAGGAAAAAAAUAUUUAAAGAUUUCUAGUACUUUGCAUGUAAAUAAAAUCUAAUUUUAGAAUGUGUUUUGUCUGAUGUUCUGGGUUGGAGUUAUUUUCUGUUGCAUGGCAGGACUGCAUUUGCCAAAUUUGUAUUCUAGAUAUUUUGUACUGUAUGCCUUUCUAGGGAAAGUUAUAAGUUAUAAGGAAAAAACUCUCUGAUAUCAGUCCUUGCUGGAUCAAUGCAUUUUUUUUUUUUGAUGCUGAUAAAAGUUAAACUGAGCU